CCUACGGGUGGCAGCAGUGAGGAAUAUUGGUCAAUGGACGAGAGUCUGAACCAGCCAAGUAGCGUGAAGGAUGACUGCCCUAUGGGUUGUAAACUUCUUUUAUAUGGGAAUAAAAUGUUCCACGUGUGGGAUUUUGUAUGUACCAUAUGAAUAAGGAUCGGCUAACUCCGUGCCAGCAGCCGCGGUAAUACGGAGGAUCCGAGCGUUAUCCGGAUUUAUUGGGUUUAAAGGGAGCGUAGGUGGAUUGUUAAGUCAGUUGUGAAAGUUUGCGGCUCAACCGUAAAAUUGCAGUUGAAACUGGCAGUCUUGCGUACAGUAGAGGUGGGCGGAAUUCGUGGUGUAGCGGUGAAAUGCUUAGAUAUCACGAAGAACUCCGAUUGCGAAGGCAGUUCACUGGACUGCAACUGACACUGAGGCUCGAAAGUGUGGGUAUCAAACAGGAUUAGAUACCCUAGUAGUC
This 460-nucleotide ribosomal RNA is filed under the name uncultured bacterium. RNAcentral describes it as "partial 16S ribosomal RNA". It matches the Rfam family "Bacterial small subunit ribosomal RNA", at positions 338 to 795 of the family's 1533-position model. The record is from RNAcentral.